This 393-nucleotide long non-coding RNA is filed under the name Capsicum annuum. RNAcentral describes it as "long non-coding RNA (CANN_LNC017805)". Lineage: Eukaryota; Viridiplantae; Streptophyta; Magnoliopsida; Solanales; Solanaceae. The record is from RNAcentral.
UUGUUUUAGCCUUUUGGCUUUCCCCCAAAGUGACUUGAAAAUUAUAUGUAUAUGUAUAUAUGUGUUUGGCCUUGAAAUAUGAAUUGAGAGCACGAUUUACAUGAAAUCCCUCUCUUGAUGUAAUUUUUCCAUGUUUCACAUGAUAUAGAUUGUUUUGAAAUACAUCUUGAAAAAUCAUGAUAUGAAAUGCUUUGACUUUGCUAUAUUUGGAAUACGAUUUUGAACACGAAAGAGAGGGUUGUAAAUGUUGAAUAUACAUAUAAUGAAAGAGUGCAUAAUUUUGCCAAAAGCACAUGACCACCAUAUGUUUGAUGAAAGUUUUUGCAUGGUUUUAACUUGAGUUUUGGAACAUGAAAUUUUUUAUGCAAAUUACAUGUUUGGGUGGUCUGAAAC